This is a long non-coding RNA of Homo sapiens (human), 1157 nucleotides long. Ensembl annotates it as long intergenic non-protein coding RNA 1359. NCBI's taxonomy places the organism in Eukaryota, Metazoa, Chordata, Mammalia, Primates, Hominidae. The record is from Ensembl.
AAACAGGCUCCAAAAGCUUGUUACUUGCUUGUAGUCAAACAGAAGGCAGAGCUGCGAAUCAAAUCCAGGUUUGUCUCGACAUGCCACUAGCUCAUACUUCCCUUGGAUCAGCCACUAAAUGGCUUUCACUCCAGUGAGCAGCGACCAGCACCAGAAUUAUGGAACAUUUAUCAACAGCCUAAAAUAAAGACAACACGAGGAGAAUUUGGUUGCUUAUAUAGAUUCAAGGUACAAUCCUGCUGGAUUCUGGAAGAAAUAUCACAGUGUGCAUGCACAGAAGUACGACCAUGUGAAGAGGUAGCAAGAGAGCAGCAAUCUACAAGCCAAGGAAAGAGGCCACAGAGGAAACCAACCCUGCCAGCAUCUUGAUCUUGGACUUCCAGCUUCCAGAACUAACCAGGGACCCCACUCCCAUGCCGACAGUAUGGGCUGCUGUCUUCAGGACCAUUGCAAGGCUGCAGGAAGACUUAGAGGCAUCAUCCUGCCUUGGCUUCUGGUUGCCAAGGUGUUCUGCCUGAUACCAACUUUGUCAGCAGUCACCAACUAGCCAUGCUUUUCCCUUGAAGGCACAUGUAGAUUGCCUAACCAUCCACACCAGGCAAACAAUUCUUCAAAUGUCAUGCCCUUUGCACUUCUGUUCAGAUCCAGCCUUAGAGAAGCUUGUGAAGCAAUGACUGUUUUAAUUGGUCUCCUGGGUACCCAGGCCUAAUCCUUUACCAAGUCACUAGUUAUCCCAUGUUCCUUAUCUGUCUGUCUAUCCAUCUAUCCUUCCAUCCUCAUCCAAUACUUACAGAAUGCCUAUGGCUGCAAAUACAAGGAUGACUGCUUGGUUCCUGCUGUCCAUAAACUCACAGCCUGGGAUAAGUGUCCUUCACGGUUCGGUUCACAUUUCACAAGCCCCAUGAAGUCUAUCUGGAUUUUCGGUAAUGUUUCCUGUCUCUGAAAUCUUAUGACAUUUAUGUCUGUAUCAGCCAUUUGAUGCUUGAUUAUCUAUUUUUCAGAUGGAUGUCUUGCCUUUUCCUCUACACACUACAGGAAGAGUGGCCACCCCUGCCAAGGGCCUAGUAUAGUACCCUAUACAUGUAGCUGAUCAGUUGAUUGUUACUGAUCAUAUGUAUCCUGCAUCAUGUUAUAAAAAAUUAACACAGUGCUUGGCA